This is a long non-coding RNA of Magnolia sinica, 1076 nucleotides long. RefSeq lists it as uncharacterized. Lineage: Eukaryota; Viridiplantae; Streptophyta; Magnoliopsida; Magnoliales; Magnoliaceae. The transcript is spliced from 4 exons. The record is from RefSeq and is a predicted model, not a curated record.
UUUGUCACUUCCACUUCCAGAACUAAUUAUUUCAGUUCACUUCAUAAGUACAUACUGUGCUGGUUCUUAAUCAUAUAGCCUCUAUUGUUAAGAUCUGUUGUUAAAUUUUAGUAAUGGAAGUUCAUUUUUUAAUGUUCCAAAAUCUUACAACAAGAACAUUAUUUAGCAGCUGAAUCUAAUAUUAUGCUUGUAAUUGUUGCUCCUCAUCAUUGCAGGUUCUUAUAUACAGAGAUUGGACGUCUUCAGAACAUUCACAAUAGCCAUAGAUGUAGUGGAAAUGAACAAUUGCAAGUUGAUGAUUCUACAAGCUCGUUUUUCUCUCAGGGACAGAUUUUCCUGACCAAGGAAAAUGCAAAAUGAGACCGGGUUGGAAAUUGCAUCUAUAUAUCACACAGAUGCCAUAACUAUGAUUUAUGUGGGUCCACUACCCACUUACAGAGUUUUGUCUCUUUUUGUUGGUCUUUUCUUUCUUCCUUGAAGAUAUUGGUCAUGGCCUUUGUGUUUGGCUGUGCUUCGGUUAGCUCACCCCUAAACUGGAAUGUAUCCGCUGCCUAGUUCUGAAGAAUCAAGUUUAAGGUGUAAGGAAACAUUGUCAGCCCUUAAAGCCAUGCAGGGGCAAGGAGCCUAUCCACAACUAGAGCUGGACAUAGCUCACCUUGAAAAGGAAAUUGAGUUAUAUUCAUUGGAGAAGCUGUGUUAUGAAGCUUAAAUGAUGGUAUGGUAAAUGAGAAGGCUUCAUCUCCUUUUCAAAUAGGAAAUUGCUUCACAUCUGGGCUUUCCUGAUGGUUCUGUAAGCCACUAUGGCAUGGAUGUUGAUGUUAAUAGUGUGUUAUUAAUGGCUGACAUUGUUCUUUAUGGUUCCUUUCAAGAGGAACAAGGUUUUCCUCCAUUGCUAAUUAGAGCCAUGUCCUUUGAAGUACCUAUCAUUUCUCCUGAUUUGGCUAUCAUAAAAAGAUAUGUGAGUUUAGUUCCAUUUAAACUCAUCCUUGUUUCCUUGACAUUUACAUGAUUGAAGUUCGCAAUUUUUUAUUUAUAUUUAUUUAAAAACCCGUCUUAAUACAGGUUCUUAACGAAGU